Molecule: long non-coding RNA, 1178 nt
Filed under: Papio anubis (olive baboon)
Lineage: Eukaryota; Metazoa; Chordata; Mammalia; Primates; Cercopithecidae
Description: lncRNA (ENSPANG00000051349.1)
Source: RNAcentral
UUCACCUAUAUGAUGAUUUUUUGUCUGAUACAGUCAUUUCAAGUUGAUCCAUUUUGCAUGUGACUAUAGAUGUUCUUGGAAGUAUAAUUUCCCCUGCGUAUAAAACUUAUUUUUUCCAUUGUUUUCUCAAAUUCAGCAGCAUCCAUUCCAGCAAUUACAACAUCAAGCAGUGAAACAACAGGAACAACUCUAGGUCCUCUCACCGAGCCUUUUACUACAGGCCAGUAUAUUAAUUCCUGGUUUUAUAUGCUAAAUAAAAAUAUUCAAUAGUUUAAAUUAUUAGUCACCUUGGGUUUUAAAGAAAGAAUGUAUAGGACAGUUUGGCUUUAGAAAAAAUAUUUCAAACAAGUAGUUUACUAGGUUUUUACCACUGACUUUAAAUUUUUCUUUAAAAACCUUGAAUUUUACUUGUUUUUGAUCAGUCUAUAUUGACUGGCUAUAGAAACAUGGUUUCUAGUUUGAUUUUCUUCUUUAUCAUUAACUAUUAACAUAAUAUCUGCAACAGUAGUAAAUAUCUUUAAAUUUUUUUAAAGACUAUGGGUUGCACAUCUAAUAACAUACGUUACUGUCUUAGAUGUUUAAAGUUUAAACAUGUGCACAUCUAAUAACAGCUCUCUUAGCUGUUCUAAGCCUAAACGUAGCAAUUAACUAUUUCAUGAUAGUGUUUCUUUAUUGUUAUUAUCAGCCCCAGGCCACAGUGAUUAAGGCAUAAGGAUCUGCUAAUUUUAUUUUAUUUUUAAAUUUUAAAAAUUAUUUUUUUAAAUGUGGAUACAUAGUAGAUAUAUACAUAUAUGGCAUACGUGAGAUGUUUUGAUACAGGCAUGCAAUGUGAAAUAAGCACAUCAUGGAGAAUGGGGAAUCCAUCCCCUUAAGCAUUUACCCUUUGUGUUCUAAAUAAUCCAAUUAUAUUCUUUAAGUUAUUUUAAAAUGUAUAAUUAUUAUUGGCUAUAGUAACCCCAUUGUGCUAUCAAAUGGUAGGUAUUAUUUAUUCUUUUAAAUGUUUUUAUACCCAUUAACCAUCCCCACCUCUCCCUAACCCCUGACUACCCUUCCUAGCUCUGCUAACCAUCCAUUUACAUUCUAUGUUCAUGAGUUCAAUGGAUCUGAUUUUUUUAGAUCCCAUAAAAUAAGAACAUGUGAUGUUUGUCUUUCUGUACCUGGCUUAUUUCACUUAACAU